This 341-nucleotide ribosomal RNA is filed under the name uncultured Glomeromycotina. RNAcentral describes it as "SSU rRNA". It matches the Rfam family "Eukaryotic small subunit ribosomal RNA", at positions 569 to 916 of the family's 1831-position model. Lineage: Eukaryota; Fungi; Glomeromycota. The record is from RNAcentral.
AGCAGCCGCGGUAAUUCCAGCUCCAAUAGCGUAUAUUAAAGUUGUUGCAGCUAAAAAGCUCGUAGUUGAAUUUCGGGGUCAGUAGGUUGGUCAUGCCACUGGUAUGUACUGGUCUCACUGAUUCCUCCUUCCUGAUGAGCCGUAAUGCCAUUAAUUUGGUGUUGCGAGGAAUCUGGACUGUUACUUUGAAAAAUUAGAGUGUUUAAAGCAGGCUAACGCUUGAAUACAUUAGCAUGGAAUAAUGAAAUAGGACGUUUGAUUCUAUUUUGUUGGUUUCUAGGAUCGACGUAAUGAUUAAUAGGGAUAGUUGGGGCAUUAGUAUUCAAUUGUCAGAGGUGAAA